AAGCAAAGCUUAAUUUCCCAGAGGAUGUAAGAAUUCUUCCUCCUCCUCCUCCUCUUCUUCCUCCACCAGCUGACACGGCGGCGAAUAAAGCAGAAGAGGAUCUGAUAAAUUAUUGGAGUUAUUCAAAGUUGUUGCAAAGUUCAGACCAACGGUUAAUCCCCGAGCGAGGACAAGAAGAGAGUACCAACAUACUAGAACAUUUACCAAUGGAACAACCUUUGCCUCCUUCAAGUUCUGGUCCAAGUUCCUCUGAUUUUUGUGGACCUUCCUCUACCUAAUACAUUACAUAUUUCACUUUUAUUAACAAACAGUCUACAAAACCAUUUAAAUACGUAGCUAAAAGAAAAUGAUUUUUCUUGUCUCUAUACAUUGCUAAGUGCUAAACAAUAUAUAUUGUACUCUGUUUUGCCUUAAGUAAUCUCUCUCUUUUCGUUGUAGAAUCUUUCUUUAUCAUCCAAAUUUCAUUUCCUCGUUCUAGUUUCGUAUCUCAUUAUGUCAAAACG
RNAcentral lists this long non-coding RNA (503 nucleotides) under Arabidopsis lyrata. RNAcentral's name for it is "long non-coding RNA (ALYR_LNC000585)". The record is from RNAcentral. Lineage: Eukaryota; Viridiplantae; Streptophyta; Magnoliopsida; Brassicales; Brassicaceae.